This is a long non-coding RNA of Populus trichocarpa (black cottonwood), 1068 nucleotides long. RefSeq lists it as uncharacterized. The transcript has 2 exons. Lineage: Eukaryota; Viridiplantae; Streptophyta; Magnoliopsida; Malpighiales; Salicaceae. The record is from RefSeq and is a predicted model, not a curated record.
AUUGACCUCAAAGACUUGGCCUAUGCCUUCAAUAUCAUGCUUCGUGGGUUAACUACCACAUGGAAAAAGUAUGAUUUUUUGUGUUGAAUUGGAUUACAAGCUGAAGUCUUUAGACCUAAAAGCAAAUAAUUUUACAUACCCUUUUUUGUUUAUAGCGUGAGGGAAUGUUUGGGGUUUGGUUCAUGGAAAGAUUGGUCAUUGUCUGGUGUCUAAGGCUGGUUGGGAUGGUGAUGAGUAUGUGAAUCAUUCUUUGAUUACAAUGUACGCAAGGUGUGGUGAAACGGGUUUUGCACGGAAGAUGUUUGAUGAAAUGGGUGUGAGAGACUUGGUGUCGUGGAAUUCGAUGAUUUCGGGGUAUUCUAAGAUGGGUUUUGCUAAAGAGGCAAUUGGGUUGUUUAUGGAAACGAGGGAGGAGGGUUUUGAGCCAGAUGAGAUGACGUUGGUGAGUGUUCUUUGGGCGUGUGGGGAUUUGGAUUUGGGGAGAUGGGUGGAGGGGCUUGUUUUGGAGAAGAAGAUGGAGGUAAUUCGUAUGUGGGGUCUGCUUUGAUUGACAUGUAUGGUAAGUGUGGGGAUUUGAUAUCUGCGAGGAGGGUCUUUGAUUCAAUGCCAAACAAGGAUGUUAUCACCUAGAAUGCCAUUAUCACAGGGUAAUUAGAUCGUUGUGGUCUUCAACUUCCUUGAGCCUGGGAACAUCUAAAAAUUAAGCAUUAUGCGGAGAGCAAGUUGGUACACCGAUUGACCAAACUGGGAGGAUCGGCUAAAUUUUACAACAUGCUUAAUGCCUCACAGGAUAUUUUAUUUCCAGAUAUCAUAUGUAAUUGCUGUUACGUAGACCCUUCUGGGACAGUUACUGGCAUCUAAAGUACUUUUUGUUGAGUUGAAAGGUUUUCUUGAUGCGUGUGAGAAGUCAGGGUGUGGAUCUUCUUAACUCUCCAAUUGCUGAGAAUUCUCCAAGUGCUCACAAGCUUAUAUACAAACAGUGAAAUAAAUUUGAAUUGAUAUUUGUGUUGUAAUGUAUUCCCUUUGACAUUAAAUAUUUUUGGAUGUGUUAUAAAUUUGAAUUUAUCA